CCUACGGGAGGCUGCAGUGGGGAAUAUUGGGCAAUGGAGGAAACUCUGACCCAGCAACGCCGCGUGAAGGAUGAAGGUUUUCGGAUUGUAAACUUCUGUCGCGAGGGAUGAAGAUUGACGGUACCUGACUAAGAAGCCCCGGCUAACUACGUGCCAGCAGCCGCGGUAACCCGUAGGGGGCAAGCGUUAUCCGGAUUUACUGGGUGUAAAGGGAGCGCAGACGGCUGUGCAAGUCUGGAGUGAAAGGCGGGGGCCCAACCCCCGGACUGCUCUGGAAACUGUAAGGCUGGAGUGCAGGAGAGGUAAGCGGAAUUCCUAGUGUAGCGGUGAAAUGCGUAGAUAUUAGGAGGAACACCAGUGGCGAAGGCGGCUUACUGGACUGCAACUGACGUUGAGGCUCGAAAGCGUGGGGAGCAAACAGGAUUAGAUACCCUUGUAGUC
Molecule: ribosomal RNA, 441 nt
Filed under: uncultured bacterium
Lineage: Bacteria
Description: partial 16S ribosomal RNA
Rfam family: Bacterial small subunit ribosomal RNA
Source: RNAcentral